GGUGCUGUGGCUCAACUGGUAGAGCAUUAGCCUUGAGCUAAAGAUCUGAGGGAUAGCACCC
This is a non-coding RNA of Dipodomys ordii (Ord's kangaroo rat), 61 nucleotides long. The record is from Rfam. NCBI's taxonomy places the organism in Eukaryota, Metazoa, Chordata, Mammalia, Rodentia, Heteromyidae.